This 261-nucleotide ribosomal RNA is filed under the name uncultured bacterium. RNAcentral describes it as "partial 16S ribosomal RNA". It matches the Rfam family "Bacterial small subunit ribosomal RNA", at positions 524 to 783 of the family's 1533-position model. The record is from RNAcentral.
UACGGAGGGUGCAAGCGUUGUCCGGAAUCACUGGGCGUAAAGGGCGCGUAGGCGGCUCAUGAAGGCUGUGGUGAAAGUCCGGGGCUCAACCUCGGAUCGGCCCGUGGCGACUCGUGGGCUGGAGCACUGUAGAGGCGGGUGGAAUUCCGGGUGUAGCGGUGGGAAUGCGUAGAGAUCCGGAAGAACACCAGUGGCGAAGGCGGCCCGCUGGGCAGUGGCUGACGCUGAGGCGCGACAGCGUGGGGAGCAAACAGGAUAGAU